GCCAGGGGAGACGCUGAACCGCUGCCUGUAUCUGGUCACUUGGGCAGCGGGGAGUCAAUAGUGAAACCGACCUUCAAAGGU
RNAcentral lists this non-coding RNA (81 nucleotides) under Chloroflexota bacterium. RNAcentral's name for it is "Chloroflexi bacterium c-di-GMP-II sequence". It matches the Rfam family "Cyclic di-GMP-II riboswitch aptamer". The record is from RNAcentral. Lineage: Bacteria; Bacillati; Chloroflexota.